This is a long non-coding RNA of Esox lucius (northern pike), 1224 nucleotides long. Lineage: Eukaryota; Metazoa; Chordata; Actinopteri; Esociformes; Esocidae. The record is from Ensembl.
CCUUCCCAGUGAGCAAUCGAUGACGGCCCGCCAGUGUUUUGCUGCUGGCGGGACGCUGGAGGCUAUAAUGUCCUACGGGCCACCAGCUAUUGCCGCUUUUCUCCUGAUCUCAAUUUGCAUGAGCUAAUUUGCAUCUCUGGCAGCUUUCCACUUGCAGCCUGACUGCUUUAUGCUGGCGGCUAGCAGCCGAAGAGAGGGCGUGUGCUGUGAUCUGCUGUAUCUGCUUGUGUUGCCAUUUUCUUCCAGCAGAGAUGCUAUUGUACCCCUUUUAUUCUUGUACUGAUUAUUUGUAUUGACCAUAUUUUAAUAUUGUUAAAUCUUAGUGUACAGAAUUUUGGUCAACAUUGGUACUAUAUAAAUAAAAUAGUCUUAGACUUUUGCACUAUUGCUUGUGUAAAGGACCUUUGUGUAGACAUGUACAGUAAACACAUAGAAACAGUCGUCUCUCGCCGUUGCUUACCACAAAUGUUUUCCCGAACUAAUGGCCCUUUUCCACUGCAUGGUACCAACUCAACUACUCACCAGUUGAACAGUUUUGUUCCCGGGGGAGUAUGACUGUGUGACAGUAGUUCCAUGCCUGUGGCUCAAAGGAGGACUUUGCUACUGCCAGCAUCACCAGCAGGAAGUCCUUCAGCCACGACAAGUUUGCCAGAACCUUUUCAUCACCUGAAGACACCUGGGAGGCUGUCCCUUAUAAGCUCAUCAAGCAUGCAGGUGAAUUUGAAAACGUAAUAACAAUUUGAAACUUGUUAUUACUUACAAAAUCUUAACUUUUCCUAGAUACGUGAGAGACCGGACGUGUGUAUCGCCAGAGGAGCUCAAAAAUGUCCAGUGUGGGCCCCUACCACCCCAAGGAUGCACAUCUACACCACAGCACCCUGUGGAUUGCAGCCCUGGAGAACAUUCGGAGAACAUCAAGCAGCUGACUGAAGAGAAGGUACAAUCAGGAGCCAUAAGGAAGAAUCCUUCCAUCCGGGAUGCCUCCGACGAGGCUUUCCAGAACCAGGUCACCAAGUACCUGAAAGGGGCAGCUGACAGUGCUGGUGGGAGAAGACCAAUUUGAAUUUGAAUGACACAGCUCCAGCACAACCAAUAUUGCUGCUUGUCUACAGUACUCUUUUUAAACUGCUGCUAUAUAGUGUUAUGUAUAUGAUUGCAUUAUCCUCUUGAUAUAUUUAAAGCCGUAUAUAGACAGAGAUUCUUUAAUUUAAUUCAAUACAUUUG